Molecule: long non-coding RNA, 405 nt
Organism: Homo sapiens (human)
Lineage: Eukaryota; Metazoa; Chordata; Mammalia; Primates; Hominidae
Product: long independently transcribed non-coding RNA 1046
Exons: 2
Source: RefSeq, marked validated
CCGUUUGUGAGAGAAAACCUGGUAUCUGGCUUCUGACGUUUCAGUACAAUCUUCUAUUGUGCAUCUGGAUGACAUCACUGUUGUGUCCUUUGCAGAGAUGUGCAUACAGGGCCCUAACUGUCCAGGAGCUGCUACGGACAGAGCCCGGUAAUCCCGACGACUUAGUGGAUCCUGUGCCUCCCAAGGGUGGCGCCCACGGUGACUGCACACUUGUCACAGACUGGCAGGCCAUUUGUCUGCUGCAGCCCACCAAAUCCCACAGAUCCUUUUGGAUCCUUUGCAGCAGGCUUUUCAUACCUUGAGUCUUACUUAAUGUUCACAUGAAAAAGCAACUGCUGUUUGCUGUGCUCAUAAAAGUCUUGUUAGAAAUUAACACCUUGUGUGAAUAAAAACAUCAAGUAAGUA